This 823-nucleotide ribosomal RNA is filed under the name uncultured soil bacterium. RNAcentral's name for it is "bacterial SSU rRNA". It matches the Rfam family "Bacterial small subunit ribosomal RNA", at positions 62 to 926 of the family's 1533-position model. The record is from RNAcentral.
UCGGGCGGGCGUAGCAAUACGUCAGCGGCAGACGGGUGAGUAACACGGUGGGAACGUACCUUUUGGUUCGGAACAACACAGGGCAAACUUGUGCUAAUACCGGAUAAGCCCUUACGGGGAAAGAUUUAUCGCCGAAAGAUCGGCCCGCGUCUGAUUAGCUAGUUGGUGAGGUAAUGGCUCACCAAGGCGACGAUCAGUAGCUGGUCUGAGAGGAUGAUCAGCCACAUUGGGACUGAGACACGGCCCAAACUCCUACGGGAGGCGGCAGUGGGGAAUAUUGGACAAUGGGCGCAAGCCUGAUCCAGCCAUGCCGCGUGAGUGAUGAAGGCCCUAGGGUUGUAAAGCUCUUUUGUGCGGGAAGAUAAUGACGGUACCGCAAGAAUAAGCCCCGGCUAACUUCGUGCCAGCAGCCGCGGUAAUACGAAGGGGGCUAGCGUUGCUCGGAAUCACUGGGCGUAAAGGGUGCGUAGGCGGGUCUUUAAGUCAGGGGUGAAAUCCUGGAGCUCAACUCCAGAACUGCCUUUGAUACUGAGGAUCUUGAGUUCGGGAGAGGUGAGUGGAACUGCGAGUGUAGAGGUGAAAUUCGUAGAUAUUCGCAAGAACACCAGUGGCGAAGGCGGCUAACUGGCCCGAUACUGACGCUGAGGCACGAAAGCGUGGGGAGCAAACAGGAUUAGAUACCCUGGUAGUCCACGCCGUAAACGAUGAAUGCCAGCCGUUAGUGGGUUUACUCACUAGUGGCGCAGCUAAACGCUUUAAGCAUUCCGCCUGGGGAGUACGGUCGCAAGAUUAAAACUCAAAGGAAUUGAACGGGGGCCCGCAC